Molecule: long non-coding RNA, 1720 nt
Organism: Rhododendron vialii
Lineage: Eukaryota; Viridiplantae; Streptophyta; Magnoliopsida; Ericales; Ericaceae
Exons: 2
Source: RefSeq, a predicted model, not a curated record
GAUUGGUGUUUGGGGUGUGCAGACCUUGGUUUUUUUUUUUUUUUUUUACUUUAAUGGGUUUUGAGACUUUCAAUGUUUUCCUUCCAUGUCCUUUUUUUCUUUACUUCAGUUUUUGGUUUGGGUUUUUGUGUGGGGGUGCUUUGGUAAAAUCAUGGCUGGAUUUUGUUGGCCUUCCCCCCAAACAGAAUCUGUUUGGUCAGGGGAGAGUAAUGAAAGAGUCUACAGAAAUUUGAAUAAUAAUCCUCUGCGGAUUCGAUGAGGUGUGCUAUAUAUUUCUCACUCUGUUUUUUGCUCUAUUUCUAACUCUCUUCUAAGAUUGUGCAGAAAUCAUGGGGGAAAUAUGAGUAUUUACUAAAAAAUUGAAUGCUAGAUUUGGAAAAACUCACAUGAGAAAGAGUAGGUUCGACGGCGGCAACGGUGGAGGCCUGACAGGCGCCGGCUUUGGUAAAGUCAUGCGUGGAUUUGGUUCGCCUUCCCCAAACAGAAUCUGCAAAGAAGGAGUCGGUUGGAGAGAAUAUAGUCCGAGUCCGGAAUCUGGAAUCUGUACCAAUCCGAGAGACGGUGAGAGAUAGUGUGAGAUCGAGAGAGAUCUGCGGGGGCCGGUGUCGGUGGGUGAGAGAAAGAGACAUUGGUGGUGUUCCGGCGUUGGUGGUGUCGCCUCUGGUGGUGGAGAGAGAGAGAGAGAGAGAGACGGCAGCUGCAGAAUGGAAACCUCUAAAAAGGUAAACUUCCUUUGUAACUUUGCCAUACUCAUGCGUCAGGAAGAAAAGAAUCUGUCCUCAGGAUAAUAAAUUGCCACAUAUAUAGGAGCAUGUCUUUGGCUUCAUAGUUAACGUCAUUGCUCAUAGUAGUUAAUUUGUGGCUGGAUGCAACUUUACACAUAGCAAAUACUACUACUUAUUGGAAGGUACACAUAGCAAUCACUCAUUGAAUGAUUGAAUAAGAAUUCACAGUACCUGAAGUUCAUUGUUAGAAUAAUGAAAAUAUUGUGAUUGAUUAUAGUUGAUAGUAUCGAUUGAAAUUGAUUAGGAUCAAGGAUUUGAUUAUCUUUCUAUAGUAUAGGAUUUGAUUUUGUUUCCAUGUUUUAAGAUUCCACUCUUGUAUAAAUACAAGAGCCUAUGUCAUGUGGAUAUUCACUCCCAUAUUUAACAUGGUAUUAGAGCUAUAAGAUCUAGGCCUUGUGAAUAUUUGCUCUAGGCGGGCGGCCUAAGCCUCUCGUUGCUAGGGUUGUCCAAGAAAAAUCGAGAAUCGUGAAACCGGUCCGGACCGAACCGAACCGAUCCAUGCCUUUUGGAUUUUAUCAGUGGAUUAAUGGUCCGAACAUGGAUUUGAAAAUUAAAAAACCGUGAGAUAUGGAUUAAGAUUGAAUUUUUAUUUUAAAACCGUGGAUUAACCAAACCAAACCGUGAGAUGUUUAAUAAAUAAAUAAAUAAAUAUAUAUAUGUGUGUGUGUGUGUGUGUGUGUGUAAUAUUUAUAAAUGGUUGAGUGGAAAUGGGACUAGUACCUUGAUAAAACACAUGCUAAGUAAAAAAUCCUGAGAGUCAGAAACUUAUGAAACAGACAACACUAGAAUCAUAUGCACAAGUAAAAGGAGAACCUCAUAGUGGAAUUGGGCUUUGGAGAUUUGACCAGAAGGCUUGUAGAGAUGUUUUGGCUAAAAUGAUUAUCAUGGUUGUAACUGUAAUGUUGCAGUUUGUAGCUUAUUGCAAGGUAAUGUUU